Molecule: non-coding RNA, 264 nt
Organism: Vicia faba (fava bean)
Lineage: Eukaryota; Viridiplantae; Streptophyta; Magnoliopsida; Fabales; Fabaceae
Source: the annotation of a GenBank genome assembly
AUGGCUAUCAACCGAGUAUAUUUUUUCAUUGCAAUUCUUUGUAUUGCUUUAGUUUUGCAUCCAGGUGGUGCAAGAAGAUAUGAAGAAAUUAUGAGUGAUGAUAUCACGACUGAUUGUUUUGACACACCAGAAUGUCCAUUAUCUAAUGAAAGUUGUUUACAGAGAUGUGGACGACGAGGAUGUGUGAUUGUCGCUUCUGCCCCUGGGGUCAUGAUGAGGAGAGUGACAAGCUUGGGAUCGUCCUCGUGGUCCCGUAAUUUCUAG